GGGAUGUUCUUCCAGUGGCCAGGAUGCCCGGCUGUGACCCAGGCGACGCCGGUUCGAACCCGGCACAUCCCC
Molecule: transfer RNA, 72 nt
Filed under: Kouleothrix aurantiaca
Lineage: Bacteria; Bacillati; Chloroflexota; Chloroflexia; Chloroflexales; Roseiflexaceae
Rfam family: tRNA
About the family: Transfer RNA (tRNA) molecules are approximately 80 nucleotides in length. Their secondary structure includes four short double-helical elements and three loops (D, anti-codon, and T loops). Further hydrogen bonds mediate the characteristic L-shaped molecular structure. tRNAs have two regions of fundamental functional importance: the anti-codon, which is responsible for specific mRNA codon recognition, and the 3' end, to which the tRNAs corresponding amino acid is attached (by aminoacyl-tRNA synthetases). tRNAs cope with the degeneracy of the genetic code in two manners: having more than one tRNA (with a specific anti-codon) for a particular amino acid; and 'wobble' base-pairing, i.e. permitting non-standard base-pairing at the 3rd anti-codon position.
Source: Rfam by way of RNAcentral